Molecule: ribosomal RNA, 412 nt
Filed under: uncultured microorganism
Description: bacterial SSU rRNA
Rfam family: Bacterial small subunit ribosomal RNA
Source: RNAcentral
GAGUUUGAUCCUGGCUCAGAUUGAACGCUGGCGGCAUGCCUUACACAUGCAAGUCGAGCGGCAGCAUGAUCUAGCUUGCUAGAUUGAUGGCGAGUGGCGAACGGGUGAGUAAUACAUCGGAACGUGCCCUGUAGUGGGGGAUAACUAGUCGAAAGAUUAGCUAAUACCGCAUACGACCUGAGGGUGAAAGUGGGGGACCGCAAGGCCUCAUGCUAUAGGAGCGGCCGAUGUCUGAUUAGCUAGUUGGUGGGGUAAAGGCCCACCAAGGCGACGAUCAGUAGCUGGUCUGAGAGGACGAUCAGCCACACUGGGACUGAGACACGGCCCAGACUCCUACGGGAGGCAGCAGUGGGGAAUUUUGGACAAUGGGCGAAAGCCUGAUCCAGCAAUGCCGCGUGUGUGAAGAAGGCCU